This 437-nucleotide ribosomal RNA is filed under the name uncultured Campylobacter sp. RNAcentral's name for it is "bacterial SSU rRNA". It matches the Rfam family "Bacterial small subunit ribosomal RNA", at positions 958 to 1393 of the family's 1533-position model. The record is from RNAcentral. Lineage: Bacteria; Pseudomonadati; Campylobacterota; Epsilonproteobacteria; Campylobacterales; Campylobacteraceae.
AACGCGAAGAACCUUACCUGGGCUUGAUAUCCUAAGAACCUUUUAGAGAUAAGAGGGUGCUAGCUUGCUAGAACUUAGAGACAGGUGCUGCACGGCUGUCGUCAGCUCGUGUCGUGAGAUGUUGGGUUAAGUCCCGCAACGAGCGCAACCCACGUAUUUAGUUGCUAACGGUUCGGCCGAGCACUCUAAAUAUACUGCCUUCGUAAGGAGGAGGAAGGUGUGGACGACGUCAAGUCAUCAUGGCCCUUAUGCCCAGGGCGACACGCGUGCUACAAUGGCAUAUACAAUGAGACGCAAUAUCGCAAGAUGGAGCAAAUCUAUAAAAUAUGUCCCAGUUCGGAUUGUUCUCUGCAACUCGAGAGCAUGAAGCCGGAAUCGCUAGUAAUCGUAGAUCAGCCAUGCUACGGUGAAUACGUUCCCGGGUCUUGUACACACGC